AGCGUACUCACGGUGGCUCUGUGCGCAUGCAUAUUGUGCUCCCUCUCUCUUUUAGUUCGUCUGCUUGUCGGCACUAGACCCCCGCAGCAGAUCUCACGUCACCUCCUUUUUCGCAUACCCAUAGAGACACACGCACACAGCGACAGUGACGCUGUAUCGUGUCUUUUUUUUUUUCGUUUUCCUUUCUAAUCUUCCCUGUUGUAGUUGUGGUAUUCGCGGAAGAGGCCGAGUGCGAGAGCGGGAGAGGGGACGACCAUCGCCAAAGCCGAUAAGCAAAUCGCUCACCUGCACACGUGCAGCUCCUGCCUGCCUGCCUGCCCGCUCGCCUCUCGCUGAUACACUCAUUCUUCGGAACUCGCCACAUAGAGGGACACCGAAGCAACGAUACACUUCAGCUUACACGCAAGUGUCCUGCCUCCUCUCUGCUUUUUCUUGUGCACGUGCCCCUCCCUCUCCAGUGUAUGGGCGCGCGCACACAUGCAUACUGCUGCCUCCGUAAUCGCUUCUUGCCUGCUGUCUUAUCGUGUAUCUGUUUCGGCCCCUCUGCUCUCAGUGCACACACACACACACACACACACACACACAUCUGUCUGUGCAGGGUUGUGCGCGUGCAGGGUUGUGCGCGUGCAUGCGUGUGUGCGUGUUUAGUGGGAGUGGUUGUUGCCAGCGUUGCGGCGCUCCGCAUGUUUCGGUUUUCGCCUCAGCGCGUUCUCCGGCCUUCUUUUUGUGAGCCACCAUGCCACGAGAGGUGUACGCGGCCUCGGCUUCCUGGUCCGGCGCCACCACCUUCCCUCGGACGUCCGCGCGGCCGCGGCGGAGUCGGUCCCACAACGAAGUCCUCCUCGCCGAUCAUGAUGGCGCGCCACUCUUUCACCCACACGGGAGCGCCGCUGAGGUCCGUGCAGGCGCCGCAUCGCAGCAGCUGCGCGCUGUGAGCUUCGCCAGUGCCCUUUCCAGCUCUGCGGCGUCGUCGCAAGCUGGUCUGCUCUUAGCGGACGUGAUGCCGACCGGCUCGCACACUGUGCCCCCGCCUCGACAGGUAAAGGAUGUAAACGUGGCCGCUCCCGCGUCAGCAACGCUAUCGGCGAACGCGCUACAAGUGUUGUCCGCCUCGGCUCUCUCGGUGCCUGCCGCCACCCCGAGGGCGACCAGCGCCACAACCCCUACCACCGUGAAGGGGCUCACGAGCGGCAGUUGGCCAUUUUGCAGCGUCGUCGACGGAUGCGGCAUCUCCCCCAAGCUAGCCGAGCUGCUCCGCGCGGCGGCCACGCGGGAAGACGAGGAUGCGCCGUUUCUGAACAUCCCCGCCGAGCUGCUGUGGCUGGGAGGCCGCCGUGAUGCACCCUCGGCACUACUCGGUAGGCGCGGCGAGCCGGGCACUACGACCCCGCUCAAUGGCGUCACGCGGGCCUCGCCGUCGUCCAGGGUGUUUACGUCAGCUGCUGAGGCGCUCAUGGUGGACCCCGACGCACCCCGGCCUGCUCGACGGCGCUUGAGUUACAAAAUCACGCCGGCGCCCCGGGAGUGUAGGAGCGCGGCAUUCGCAUCCGCCGCCCUGGGGCCCCUUACGCCGCUCUCCGGCAGCACCACGCCGUUCAUCUCCCUUUUCACCAAAGACGAUACUGCGACGACGGCCUCGCCCUUGGCAGUGGCGUGCAUGACCGCAGCCCCGCCGUCCCCUGGCGGGGCGAUGCUGUGCUUCUCGACUCCAAAGUCUCCACUCAGUGGCGCAGAGCCCGCAGUCACUGCCGCGCUUCUUCGCGGCAGUAGCCUCGCCGCCCCACGCUGUCUGCGUUCGAGUGAUGCGCCGUCUACCUUGAUGGCGGCGAUCGUCACGGCCUCCUCUCACGCAGGACCAGGCGCGCUCCCGCCUCUGUCGCCCUUCACUCCCACCGACCCCCACGGCGGUGGCAGCCAGCACAUAGAGCUGCCUUUGGGCUUUCAAGGGUUUUCUGCGCACAGCCACCAUGUGCUUGAGCAGCGCAUGCCCGUCAACAGUCGAGGAUGCUCAUCACGGGCUGCGUCGGCCGCGGCAACGACAUCGCUGUUGAAGCUGGCGCGGCAGGCAGCGAGUGUUGCCAGCGCGCAGUCGGUGAGCGACUGCACGGAUGCCCCGUACCACUUCGAGGAUCUCCUCGACGACGCAACGGCGUCCUCUCUCGUCGAGGAUGAUGACGUUUUACGUGACACACCGUGCGGCGGGGACUUCAGCUGUGACGUUUUCGAAGAUGGAAAAGUGUGCGAGGCGGUGGACGACAACGGCUGUGACGAAGACAGCAGCUGCCGUGGUCUCUUACAGAUACGAGGGAGGAGAGUGGUGGCGACGGGAGCUAUGCCGUGUGCAGCGGGGCCGGCGUCGAGGCUGUCGCCGCGUCAGCAGCUCACAUGCCUGCAAGGGCAGUGCGACGUGCGCAGCUGUGCCACCGCAGCCUUGAACGCCAACGGGCCAGCGACGCGCAGCCUUACUGCAGCGCAUGCGCCAUCAUUGGGGACUGCAAGUCGGGUGCACAUGUCGCUCAUGCACACCACUGCCGGGUCCGACUCGGCAUCUAGCUAUGGCAGCGUAGGCGGUGGCUCGACUGGCCUCAGCACCUUCGCCCGAUCCACAAUGACGGCACCGCAGCAGGUGUUGGCGUUGCAAUGGGGGCUGCCACGCCCACUAUCGACACAGACGCGAAGCGGCGCUACUGGCAGUGGCCACCUCCUUGACGGCAGCCGCAGUGCCACCACGGAGAGCUCGAUCAGCGCGCCGGAUCUGCCUGUGUUCGUACCCACGUCCUGCCCGGCCUGCUUGCUGGGGGCAGCCGCCUUCGACAGCGACGCAGGUGGCAGACCUCUCCAUCCGCGACUGGGUAAGCACGCGACGCCCUCGCGCGAAAGGGAACUGGGCACCGCAGCGGACACCAUCGCAAAACCCGCACAGCGGCCCCGCAGCUCCCACCGGCACGCUGGCAGCGACGGCAGAAGCGGUUGCAGCGGUGGCGGUGGCCUUCAUAGACCCUUGAAGCAUUCGCACGGCGCACCUGCCGGAACACAAGAUUGCAUCGAGCAGACCCACAGCAGCUCUGUCGCUGAGGGGCGCACACGGAGCGCCGAGAGCAGCAGUGACGUCAGCGGCUGGGGACGAGUCAGCGAUGUUGGCGAGGACAGCGAUGGGCAGAACGCAACGAGCGGCGGUGGCGAGAAUGGUCGCUGCCGUCCAUGCUCGGCGCCGUGGGUGCGGCGCAUCACCCGUCCUCCUCCGCUGCAUCUGCGUAGCCUAAGCGGCAGACCGUGGAAGCUGGCGAGGUCGCCGCCGGAAGCAGGAGAGGAAGGCCAUGUAGCGGACGCGCACGCCGGCGAUGGUGGUGAGACGGGCUCGCGAGAAAUCGAGACCUUCGCAGCGCUGCUGCCACCUACCCCUCGCCAAACCUCUCCAUCGCUGUCUCUCGCCACUCCCAGCAUGACCGUCGCCGCGGUCGCGGAGGGCCCGCAGAGAGGUUGGCCCCCUGUGCACGCAAGACACGCGACCGCCGUGACCCUAGCAACGUCGCCGAGCAAGGCAACGAAGCACGCGCAGAAGUGGUCGGCCGUGCCACGAGGUGGCGCGCACGGCAGCGCGGUGCCGAGCCCCUCGAGCCGACGCCAUCGCGAGGAAAGGCGAAGCUACCACCACCACCACCACGAGCUGCAGCAGAACUGGCACCUCCGGUUGCUAUGGGUAUGCGCUCCGUAUGGCGUCUUUGUGGUCCUGCUGGCGCUGACCACCUUCGUCGCCACCCACGUCGUCUCGGAGGGUGUUGUGUCGAUCUCCCCCGCAGAGCGCCACACGUACGGUCUCCCUGACCUGCUUGCCUGCACAGAGAAUGUCACCCUGCUGUCGGCCCUGCCGAAUGAAAUCUUCACCUGCUGGCGCAUCGAGGAUCCCGGUCGGCCGCCGUGUGCGGCCGUGAAGUUCGCGGAUCUCGCCGAGUCCCUGGCCGCGCUCUCCUGCGUCUCCCUGAGCGUCUCGGAGUCGUGCGACGAGGCGCGUUGCAUCCCGUUGCGGCGCAGCGACAAGCUCGGCAACCUCAGCACCGUUGCCGCGGCCACGAGGCAUGCGGUGCCCAUCACGGACAAUGGCAGGCGCGACGACCGCGAGGACGGGCACAAGGCGCUCGACUCGAAGCCAGCGCGCAUCAGUGUCGAAAACAGCCGGAUCGUGUCGCGAGCGAACAGAAACACGGCUAAGGCCGCUCGCACUCGGCGCAGCACUACGGGCGCUCGCCUUCCACCUUUCGCUGGCGAGCGCACAUUGCUGCGGCACACGAGACCGUCCGCGACCACCGCGUCGAAGCUCGACGAAUCAGCUCAUGAGUAUCUGCCGCUGCGUCGGGAGGAGAGCGCCGCUGGCGCUGCCAAGACAGGCGCUGCGGCACCGUUCGCGGACUUGAAGGUGCCCUUGGGGUACGCGUUCGGCUGCUUCGGCUACGCAACGGAGUUCUUUGCCGCGGCGUAUCUGGACAGCGAGCACGCCAGCGAGAGGAAGGGACCGAACACGUCUGCGUGCGUGUACGCCAUCGAACCAAACUUGCGCGACCCGCGCAGCCCACCCUUCCCGCCCACCAAAACGCCAUCAGCGAUGAGCGGCGACGGUGCCCCGCAUAUCGCACAUGCGCUGCCUAUCUUUCACAGCUGGAGGAAGGUCAUCACGCGUGCGGACGGGUCCAACUCGCGCGUCUCGCGUUGGCAGAUCUUGUCGGAUCCGUGUGAGCACUCCAGCGGCAUGUGCGUGCACCCUUUCUGUGGGUGCGGUUGCGCAGAGCCGUCCUUUCUCUCAUGUCGCCUAGACGCCGAUCCACUGCUGCUCGGGUACUUAGAGUCGGAUGUCGCGUGCGCGACGCCGCAAGCGCGGUCACACGUGGCGCUGCUGGUUCCGCAUCAUCCCGCGAAAUCGCCGAGGCCCGACGCCGGCACACCCCAGCAGCAACGCGGCGGCGGCGGCGGCGAACAGUGAGACUCGAUGGAGGUCGGCAUCUUCGCUCGGAGCUGGGUGAUCCACCUUCAGCAACCGGAGCGUCGGUAUAGAAGGUUGCGCAAAACACAGCCCACAGACGGGGAUGGGCCGCCCUCGAGCAACACCAGUGGUGCCGCCAGUGUGGAUGAUGCAGUAGGAGGGGAUCAGGGGGCCGUGCCACCGAGUGGCGGGAAGGUGUGCUGGAUGCAGUGGCUCUGCCCCGAUAGCGCAACGUCGGUGCCGACGAUUCUCAACGUCAGCGACGAUGCUGUGCAAGCCACGUUGAGGGCGAUUGACCUGCACCACCGCACGCAGGAGCCGGGUAUCCACAUCAGCAGCCCCGACACCGAUGUGGGUGCCCACGGUAUGGCAGCCUCUUUCUCGUGUGGUUCGCGGGGGUCGCUCAACACAUCGUCGGCAUUGCCGGCUGCCCGGCAGUACAAGCGGCCGCUCGGCAGCGGGCGCUGCACCUUCGCGCCAGCAGUGUUUCGCAAGUUUCUCGCUGAUGGCCAGAGGAUGGCGGUUGAUGUAUCGGCGGUGUGUGCGCACUCCGAUUUCACCGCGAUGGGUCAUCAUCGGAGCGGCACCUCUGCGCCGCGGACACGGUCGGCGUCACAAAGUCGUGAAGCGCUAGGCAGCGGCGUGGACGGCUGCCACCGUCCCUGCUGCCGUGACGUACCUCGUGCUCGCAGGGCUUGCCGGCUACCUGCAUCUUCCUUCCGCGUUUAUUGAGCAUCAGCUAGAGGUCACGGUGGAGCCACAUCAGCACUCGAGGCACCGCAACUCCUCCGUGCUGUCUGGUCGAGACGACGCUGCCGGAUCAGCGGACGAGCGACGACUCCACAUGGGCAGCCUCCUCCUGCGACGAUGCACGCAAGCAACGGGGCGACGCGGAGGAUUUGAUUUGGUGCAUGGGAGGCGGCUGUCUGUAGAGGCUGCAGCCACUGGUGUAGCGGUCACAACGGCAGCAGGAAGAGCUGUAGGCAACGCCGUCCACAGAACUCCGCUCUGCGCUGUAGCCGACCCCCAGCCCCCAACCACCACCACCGCGACUCGCGAAAAUACGAAAGAUUCGCCGUCGCGGCAGGUGCAGUGCCAGCCACUGCCGCAGACAGAGACGCCGACCGCGAAGCAGCCGUGGUUUCUGGACCCGCUCGCCACUCUCUCUCUCUCUCUCUCGAAGAGUCGCGCAUCCGCCCAUGGGAUGCCGCUCUGACGCGACGCCACAACCCCGCGGGGGGACGGCAGAAACGAUCCUCGACAGCGCCCAAUGAGCGAAAAGGCGACUCGCCACCGCGUGGCGACUGCAGCGGCAGCCCCUGCGAGCGUCACCCGCAGCGAGAUGCCCCAUCACACGGCUCCCAUUUUGAUGGCAGAGAUGCUGGUGAAAGAACGUCGCUGCUCUUGAGUCGAUGGGGCGCUAGACGCCUCCCACAGCUCGCAGCUAGUGCUCAGACUGUACGCGUCAGGCGCCUGCAGUCGGUGCUGAGCAUCCGCGUCCAUAUACUGUUCGCGAGUUCACGGUGGUGCGGCACCUCCCAGAGGUUCUAGAAGAUGGGGCUGGGCUCGGGUGCGCACGUACGGCGGGCGCGUUGACGUCUUACUGUCAGCGAUACUGAACGCUGGCUUUGGGUCGCGCACGCGGCUGAAGGACCCCGCUGUGCUCGCCGCACGCUGUGCGGUCGAAACCUUCGACAGCAUGUCCGCGCUGGCGCUGCGUUACUGGCAUCUUCGCCGUUGGGCACUGGCGCCUUGAAGCUGGGCAUCUGCUGUGUGCCGAAGCAUAAUGGUUUUGCGCUGUGGUGAAGUCCAUCGAGGGAGGGAGGGGGCUCCGUUGGGAGCAGCAACGCUUCAGCGGCUUCCGCGUACUCAUGGGCUCUGUCGUCACAAUGGGCAUGGAGCAAGGCAAGCCGAGCGUGGUGCUGUACGCACUGCUGCCAGGGUCGGUGCGGAUACCGUUGUAGAGCACCCCCAGCAGCCUGGCACAGCAGGGUUUCCUGCACCGCGGCCGCGGUCACUACGCGACCGCCGCGACACUGGACGGACCAGCUUGUGGACAUACCACCCGUUACCGUAUUUGUGUGCCACACGUUUCCAUUCGCGCACGAGCGGGUGCUCACGCGCGAGAUACGGAGAACGUGGAAGGGCUCGCGCGAGCUGCACCGCGUCACGUGCGGCAGCGCCGCCUUCCUUGAGACUCUGUGCAUCGGCGUGUUAGAGCUGCGUCGAGUUGGGCGGCACCUCAGCUGGUACAAUCAGUCGCCGUCCUUUCAGCGACGCCAUCCGCGACAGGAGCCACCGCAUUCCGGCGACGGCGGCGUCCUUUGUCGGCUGUGGUCUGCGGAAAAACUGUCUGGCUCACCGUCCUCGUCUCCCUUUCGGGAGGUACCGCCGGUCAUCUCCGCGGCUGAUGGAGUUGAUGAGGGCGUCAGGAUUUUUUGGCGGGUGCCUAAGCGCUGCUAGCCCGCGAAUCCUCAGAGCGGAGAGGUGAAUCGCGGUUGCUCGAAACGCUGACGGAGAUGAAGCUGGUCGCACAUGUCUGCAUGUAUCUGCGUGUGUGUGUGUCUGUGUGUACGUCUCUCUCUCUGACUCGCUCCUCCGUCUGUGCUCAGUGCAUCGCCGAAAGUCAGCGCAGCGUGCGCAUGAGCGGCCGUAGCGAACCGAACAGC
This 7644-nucleotide unclassified non-coding RNA is filed under the name Leishmania donovani. RNAcentral's name for it is "gene:LdHU3.08.0420(CDS-product:hypothetical_prote in_conserved)". The record is from RNAcentral. Lineage: Eukaryota; Euglenozoa; Kinetoplastea; Trypanosomatida; Trypanosomatidae.